UGUGGAAAAUUUGAUUAAUUCUUUAAAAUAGUCAUGGGGCUAGGUUUGGUUUGUGUCCUUUGGUUCACUGUCGCCUUCUAUCUUCUCUAUCGCCGCGGCGGCGGCAAGAGACUGAGCCUGUGCCGCCUAUUUUGCUCUUCUCUCUGUUUCAAAAUAGUGGCGAACAAUCAUUCAGCCAUGUCAAUUAGGGAUAUUCAUGGAUUGUGAAAUUGCGUCGCAUAAAUGAAUUAGUGAAAGAUGAGAUCUGGUCAUCAUGGUUUGCUCCUGUCGGAUCUGCCAGUGACUAUCCACUUCUAUCCAAAUGGGUCAUUUUUGGUGAGCUAGUUUGUAAUGGCUCAUGUGAUGGAUCCUCGGAGGAGAGGUCAACAGGAUUGCUCUAGGUGGUAACAUAUUGAAAUUGCGCAAGAAGAAAUGACAGUUUGAUAUCAUUGGUGGCGUUAUAUAUCUUAUAUUGGCCUUUUCUAUGUUCCCUCAGUAUAAUCUAGACCACAUAUUGCAGAGAGACACUUUUUCUGAUCAGCUUGGGAGAUUUCUGUACCUUCUGGGACACUCAUAUGUGUCCGCAGGAGGGAGGGGCUACUAUGGUGUUAAAUUGUUAAUAAUUGUCAUUAUUUGUGUUCCUCAAAAAGUUUCCCGAGGGAGGGAGGGAGGCAGGCUAUAAUUGCAACUCUUCAUGUUUCAGUGCACCUGUCUGCAGCGCUAAUUCUCAUGUUGUUGCUGGAACUAGGUAUUGAGACAUGUAUCCAACAUAAGCUGCUCGCCACUUCAGGUCAUGUCUUUGUUCUUCUGUUUUCAUAUGGUUUGUUCAUCUUUUUAUUGUGUGUUCACAAGCCACCCUUUUCUUUUGCUAUACAAUUUGUUGUGCAUUACCUUCACCAAGGCUAAGGUCUUGUUUGAUAUAGGUUAUUGAAAAUCAGGUUAUUUGGAGUUAAUUGAGUAAAAAACAUAUAUUAUGUUUUUUUUUGGAAAAUGACUUAUUGCCAUUUAAUAAAACCCCAAAAGGGAAAACGAGUACAUGAGUUUUGAAUUAGGACAAAACAAACAUUUGUCCUAAU
Impatiens glandulifera is the source of this 1055-nucleotide long non-coding RNA. RefSeq lists it as uncharacterized. The transcript is spliced from 4 exons. The record is from RefSeq and is a predicted model, not a curated record. NCBI's taxonomy places the organism in Eukaryota, Viridiplantae, Streptophyta, Magnoliopsida, Ericales, Balsaminaceae.